Sorex araneus (European shrew) is the source of this 135-nucleotide small nuclear RNA. RefSeq annotates it as U4 spliceosomal RNA. NCBI's taxonomy places the organism in Eukaryota, Metazoa, Chordata, Mammalia, Eulipotyphla, Soricidae. The record is from RefSeq and is a predicted model, not a curated record. The transcript has a single exon.
AGCUUGGCACAGUGGCAGUAUCACAGCCAAUGAGGUUUAUCCGAGGUGCUAUUAUUGCUAAUUGAAAACUUUUCCCAACCUUUUCUUAAACUGAGGUACUGUGAUUUAUAAUACUGUUGAUGACAUCCCAUGUAG